This 730-nucleotide unclassified non-coding RNA is filed under the name Hevea brasiliensis (rubber tree). Lineage: Eukaryota; Viridiplantae; Streptophyta; Magnoliopsida; Malpighiales; Euphorbiaceae. The record is from RNAcentral.
CAAGGUACGUUAUUACUGCAGACACCAUACUUGAAACACAAACAUGGGCCGAAGUUGAUAAUACUACAUAAAAAGUAGGAUCAUAAAGCAAAACAAAGCACCUUAGCAUCUUAACAAGGUUCAAUCAUUUUUUAUUUAUUUUUAGUAAGAAAAGGUAACAUAAUACUAGAAGGGCAUUUUAGAUAAUGCCUUGUCAAGUUGGCUCCAUUUUUGUUCCAAUGAUCCAUUAUACCCAAUUGACAUCCGCACCAAUCCAGGUGAAAUCCCAGCCAACUCCUUCUCUUCAUUGUUCAGCUCGCUGCUUGUGCUAGAGCCAGAGCACGACAUGAGAGUCUCGUAAUAUCCCAAACUCACAGCCAUGAACCCAAAUUGGGUAAAGUUUUGCAAGACAUUCAUCAAACGAUUCGCACGUUCCUCAGUUUCCAUGUCCACGCAAAGAAUUCCCCCAUAACCAUACUCUUUAUUAGCCAUGGACUUGAUAAGUACAUGAUCUGGAUGGUCUUCUAGGCCUGGAUACAUCACUUUGAGCCCAAGUUUGGUCAUCCUAGUACCAUAUUCCAAAGCCCGUUUGCAGUGCUCUUUCAUUCUCAGCCCCAAGUGAGGAAGCCUUUCUGCAAGUUCAAACGCAACUUUCGGGUUCAUAGUUGGGCCCAAUAGCAUAAGAGACCCUUGAUGAAGAUCCAUCAUGGAGUUCACAAGACUUGCUGGCCCACAAACAGCACCUGCAAUG